This 549-nucleotide ribosomal RNA is filed under the name Halammohydra sp. D1. RNAcentral's name for it is "partial large subunit ribosomal RNA". The stretch from base 185 to 549 matches the Rfam family "Bacterial large subunit ribosomal RNA", at positions 2049 to 2605 of the family's 2925-position model. The record is from RNAcentral. Lineage: Eukaryota; Metazoa; Cnidaria; Hydrozoa; Actinulida; Halammohydridae.
CAUAGUUUAUAGUUAUAUUCUUAUAGGUGGGACUUGGUCAGUGAAAAGUUUUAAGAACUUUUUAAAUUCAUGUCUUAGCGUGAGGAUAAUAAAGUAGCAUAAUAAUUUGGUAUUUAAUUGGUACCUGGAAUGAAUAGUGAAACGAUUGUGAACUUGUCUUUUAGUUAAAAAUAAAAAUUUAAUAAGUAGUUAAGAUUCUAUUUACGUAAGGUUAGACGAUAAGACCCCAUAAACCUUUACUUAAAUUUGUUAUUUAUUGUUUAAAAUGAAUAGAUUUAUUAGUUUAACUGGGGCAGUUAUUUUUUAUUUUAAAGAAAAUUAUUUUUUGUUUAUACUAUAAAAUUAACAGCAUUAAUUAAUUUUUGACCUUAUAGGUUUAAUUUUCCUAUAAAUUAAAAGAUAAAAGGUACUUUGGGGAUAACAGCGUAAUUUAAAAAUAGAGAUGAUAUCAAGUUUUAAGUUUGCGACCUCGAUGUUGAAUUUAGAUAUCCUUUAGUUGCAAACGACUAAAAAGGUUAGAUUGUUCAUCUAUUAAAAUCUUACAUGAUU